GACGAACGCUGGCGGCGUGCCUAAUACAUGCAAGUAGAACGCUGAAGCGAGGAGCUUACUCUUCGUGGAUGAGUUGCGAACGGGUGAGUAACGCGUAGGUAACCUGCCUUGUAGCGGGGGAUAACUAUUGGAAACGAUAGCUAAUACCGCAUAACAAUGGAUGACACAUGUCAUUUAUUUGAAAGGGGCAAUUGCUCCACUACAUGAUGGACCUGCGUUGUAUUAGCUAGUAGGUGAGGUAAUGGCUCACCUAGGCGACGAUACAUAGCCGACCUGAGAGGGUGAGCGGCCACCCUGAGAGUGAGACACGGCACAGACUCCUACGGGAGGCAGCAGUAGGGAAUCUUCGGCAAUGGGGGCAACCCUGAGCGAGCAACGCCGAGUGAGUGAAGAAGGUUUUCGGAUCGUAAGGCUCUGUUGUAAGUCAAGAACGGGUGUGAGAGUGGAAAGUUCACACUGUGACGGUAGCUUAUCAGAAAGGGACGGCUAACUACGUG
Molecule: ribosomal RNA, 497 nt
Filed under: uncultured bacterium
Lineage: Bacteria
Description: partial 16S ribosomal RNA
Rfam family: Bacterial small subunit ribosomal RNA
Source: RNAcentral